GUGGGGAAUUUUGGACAAUGGGCGCAAGCCUGAUCCAGCCAUGCCGCGUGCAGGAUGAAGGCCUUCGGGUUGUAAACUGCUUUUGUACGGAACGAAAAGACUCUGGUUAAUACCUGGGGUCCAUGACGGUACCGUAAGAAUAAGCACCGGCUAACUACGUGCCAGCAGCCGCGGUAAUACGUAGGGUGCGAGCGUUAAUCGGAAUUACUGGGCGUAAAGCGUGCGCAGGCGGUUAUGUAAGACAGAUGUGAAAUCCCCGGGCUCAACCUGGGAACUGCAUUUGUGACUGCAUAGCUAGAGUACGGCAGAGGGGGAUGGAAUUCCGCGUGUAGCAGUGAAAUGCGUAGAUAUGCGGAGGAACACCGAUGGCGAAGGCAAUCCCCUGGGCCUGUACUGACGCUCAUGCACGAAAGCGUGGGGAGCAAACAGGAUUAGAAACCCCAGUAGUCC
This 450-nucleotide ribosomal RNA is filed under the name uncultured bacterium. RNAcentral's name for it is "partial 16S ribosomal RNA". It matches the Rfam family "Bacterial small subunit ribosomal RNA", at positions 354 to 796 of the family's 1533-position model. The record is from RNAcentral.